This 649-nucleotide ribosomal RNA is filed under the name Brignolia ratnapura. RNAcentral's name for it is "SSU rRNA". It matches the Rfam family "Eukaryotic small subunit ribosomal RNA", at positions 1144 to 1812 of the family's 1831-position model. The record is from RNAcentral. Lineage: Eukaryota; Metazoa; Arthropoda; Arachnida; Araneae; Oonopidae.
UUAAAGGAAUUGACGGAAGGGCACCACCAGGAGUGGAGCUUGCGGCUUAAUUUGACUCAACACGGGACAACUCACCCGCACCGGACACUGGAAGGAUUGACAGAUUAAGAGCUCUUUCUUGAUUCAGUGGGUGGUGGUGCAUGGCCGUUCUUAGUUGGUGAAGUGAUUUGUCUGGUUAAUUCCGAUAACGAGCGAGAUUCUAGCCUACUAAAUAGGCGUCCCGAUCAACUUUGUCGGGCGUUCUUCUUAGAGGGACAAGCGGCUUUUAGCCGCACGAAACAGAGCAAUAGCAGGUCUGAAAUGCCCUUCGAUGUUCGGGGCCGCACGCGUGCUACACUGAAGGAAUCAGCGUGUGUUUUCCCUGUCUGGUAAGAUUGGGUAACCCGCUCAACCUCCUUCGUGAUAGGGAUAGGGGCUUGCAAUUGUUCCCCUUGAACGAGGAAUUCCCAGUAAGCACGAGUCAUAAGCUCGUGUUGAUUACGUCCCUGCCCUUUGUGCACACCGCCCGUCGCUAUUACCGAUUGAAUGAUUUAGUGAGGUCUUCGGACUGGCGCUCGGAGCGACCUUCGGCCGUGCCGACGUGCCGGAAAGAUGACCAAACUUGAUCAUUUAGAGGAAGUAAAAGUCGUAACAAGGUUUCCGUAGGUGA